CGAGCUCCUCCUCCUUCCCGCUCCAUAUCUCCUCUCUCUCUCUCCUUCCUUUUUCUCCUUCUGGCUCUCGAAGGGGAAACUUGAUGGCCAGUCCUUUGCCACGUCGAGCCUCCAGCCAGUCCAUCUUGCUCGCUACCGGAGUGGCUUUUCAGCCCUGGGAAGCUUUAGGUAGACGAAUCCAAAUGACGCAGAAGCUGCUUCUGAAGACAAUCUGGCCUGGUUUCACCUCAACACCGUGGCAGCGUUGAAUGAAAGGACGUCUAGAGAUGAGUUGGGGCUAACCAGUCAAGAAGGAGAGAAAACAAACUUCAGCCAAGCAGAGACAUCACUGAAAAGAUGUGUGGAAGAGAAGAGAGACUGGCCAGUCGCAGCCCGCACAAUCAGCCUCAUCAGCACAUUGUGGCCAGCACACUCUGAGCAGGAGGAGCUGGACUCCAGAGUCUGGUACUGGAAUCACACAUCCUCCAGCCGCCCAGCCCGCCUGCCCAGUGUUCAGACUACCUGUUCAGGAAGUAGUGGUUGUACAGUAGUCUGCACAUUGGUUAGGCUGGCCGGGGAAGCACUGGCCGACUCAAGGUGUCCGACAGAAGAGAGGGUGAGAGCGCUCCACAGGGGCAUCCAGCAGGCACAAGCGUGUCAGGCUUGAUGACACACAGCACCACCCCUCCUCCAUCUGGACAAGCCCAGUGACAAGCCUAAAAAAAGCACCCAAAGGCUUUACCACAGAGGACUGUCCCUCGCCUAUCCAGGAUUUAUGAGUGAGGGAUGCAAAAGUCCCAAACUUUAUUCUGCUGUCUGUAGUGUUUUUUGCAUUGUUUGAUUUGUCGCUGAAGAUUGAAAGCUGAUGAAGAUAAAAUUGUAAAAAAAAAAAAAAAAGAAAGAAAAAAAAAGAAAAAAAAGUUAAAAAAAAGUUUGAAAUAGUUGAAAUAAAAGUGAUUGGAGAUCUAUUUGACGGUAUUGUAUUUUUCUUUUCUCAAGGAAGUAACGCAGGGGUUAAACAGUCACGAAAAUUAAACAAAUACUAUUUAAAAAUGGGAUACCCCAACGUAUAGAUUUACUCUCACACAGGUGAUGGCUGCAUGACAUUGUCAGCAUGCUGGGUUAUUUUUAUUUCUGCAAAACCGAAAAGUCCAACCGAGAGGCGAAGCCAGAAAAAGUUCAACCGCACCAAAAAAAUGAACGCUUACACAAAAAGAUAACUAAAACACACAGUAAACCCCCAGCGUCGAGAUGUGCUCUUGACCAAAAUGUACAAUUACGUCUCUGCCUUUCCUGCAUCAACUUGUGGCUGCUUUACCUCAAAUGACCAUGUAAUGUGCAGAGAGAGGCAGGAAGCCACCAUACAAAAAUGUUGAAAGAGCAGCCAGUCUGUCAUUGUCUAUUUGCCAUUUUUACCAGCCUUUGUAUAGCCCUCCCAAAAAAAGACAGACAAUUUUUGUGGCUUUAAUGUUUGUAGGUGACAUCAUGUGAAACGCUACAAGUUUAGCUUAGACCCCCUCCCGUCCCCCCUAAGUCUCAUUUUCCAUUAUGUUUUCUUUUCUACCUUCACCGGGGCCACAGUUUGUCUCCCAGCGUGCCUGUCUUUGAUAAAGCAAAGCCACAGCGCGCCAUUUUGAACUCCCUCGCCCUCUCGAGUACACAAAAGCAAAGUAGAGGGCAGAAACAUUCACACGGUGUCCCAUCACAGAGCAUCGUCUGCAGGAAUGAAAACCGCAAACCAACCUGUUUCCAUUUAGAGCCCUGCCACCAUGUCGCAGCCCCAGGAACGUGCACACAGAAGUGCACAAACACUACACACACACACACACACACACACACAGUAUAGCAGCAUGUUUCUUGUGAGUGUGUUGAAAGCAGCAGUCUGCUGUUUCCCCCCAGGAUGUUUACAGCUGGGAUCACCAGGCAAGUCUGGCUGUCUGGCAGCUUUACAGCAGAAGUAGGGAAACCCAGGCACACACACCCAUACACACUCACACUCACACACACAAGGAGGCAAAAGGGGACAUACAUCCUACAGACACUGACGGAUCUUAUCUGUGUGUGUCUCUGUGUGUCAAAGUCAAAAUGUCCCUGUGUAAACGCACAAAUUUGAUAAUAAGAAUAUAUGAACGUCCCUUCUGCUGGAAGUCAAUAAAAUCACAGUCAUGUGGG
Long non-coding RNA from Scatophagus argus, 2151 nucleotides. RefSeq lists it as uncharacterized. The transcript is spliced from 3 exons. The record is from RefSeq and is a predicted model, not a curated record. NCBI's taxonomy places the organism in Eukaryota, Metazoa, Chordata, Actinopteri, Scatophagidae.